RNAcentral lists this long non-coding RNA (1188 nucleotides) under Daphnia pulicaria. RNAcentral describes it as "uncharacterized LOC124340446, transcript variant X1". Lineage: Eukaryota; Metazoa; Arthropoda; Branchiopoda; Diplostraca; Daphniidae. The record is from RNAcentral.
UUACAUUUGAUCUGUAAGAAUUCAAUUUUGAAUCAUUUUCAUUUCAAAUUGAUUCACACACAUAGCAGACGCCAACACAUCAAGCGUCAUCAAUAGCGUGGUCUAUGGUGCAAUGCUAUCGCUGGAGUAAGUUGUUUACCUUCAAUUCGGGUAGCGUCAUGAUCGCUGCUGAUUGCCUUUCAAAUAGGUUUUCAGCAUUCUGCUUACACCUUUGGCAUAGUCACAUAUUUCACAAUCCAACAUCAAUUGGUACCAACAGCAGCCCUUCUCUCCAUCAUCCAGAAGGGUCUGAGAUCAGUGUUGGAGAUGAUGGUUCGGAACAACCCAUGGAAAGCUUAUCACUCAUUGAUGCUGUGAUGCCUGAUGUUGUUGCAAGUCGUCAACAGCAAACACAGAGCAAUCAGAAAUCAAAGUGGUAAAGACAGAACCACCAAAUUCCAAUGGAGAUGAACCCAUGCAUUCCUAUCGCUGGGAAGAGGAAACAGGAGUAGAGAUACCUGCCAGCAAAUCAACUGUACUUCGUGGCCAUGAAUCUGAAGUUUUCAUCUGCGCCUGAACCCAACAACUGAUUUAUUGGCUUCUGGCUCUGGCAUUUAAUUCAGAAGGGUGGAACUGAAGUUCCGAGCAACAAAGAUGCCACCUCACUUUACUGUGUGAUGGAACUCUGCUUGCAACUGGCUCUUACGAUGAUUACGCUCGCAUUUGGACAACUGAUGGAAGAUUAGCUAGCACUUUGGGACAGCAUAAAGGACCUACUGUCGCACUAAAAUGGAACAAAAAUGGCAACUAUAUCCUUAGUGCUGGAUUCGACAAAACGACCAUUUGGGACGCUUCAACGAGUCAGUGCACGCAGCAGUUUGCUUUCCAUUCCGCCCCAGCACUCGACGUAGAUUGGCAGUCGAAUGUCAGUUUUGCCUCAUGCUCCACUGACCAGUGUAUUCAUGUUUGGAAGUAAAAUCUAGGUAGCCUACAAUCAAUGAAACUGCGGUGUGCUGAUUGCGGCUGAUUGUUUUAACUAUAAAGCAUAUGUUAUCAAGCGAUCAAUUCAGAUCAGGUGUAUUAUCAAUUUUACAUUUUCCUGGACGCAAAAUUUGUUGUUUUGCUUUAAAACUGGAUCGACAAUCAACAGUAUACAGCCUUGACGGGGGAUCAAUCAGCACAUGGAAAAAUAAGGGUUCAAAUUAUUUA